UUAACUAUUAUAUAGUACUCAGACGACAUGUAUAAACAGAGUUUAGGGUCCUCUGGCGAGCGCUCACCAGCGUGAAGCCGGUGGCCGAAGCGGCUCGCCAAAGCAACAAAGGUAUAGUUAACAUAGGGUUGGAGAGUCACCCUUGCGGGCGAAUUUCUCUGUAAUGAUCCCUCCGCAGGUUCACCUACGGAGA
This 193-nucleotide unclassified non-coding RNA is filed under the name uncultured fungus. RNAcentral describes it as "sequence contains ITS1". Lineage: Eukaryota; Fungi. The record is from RNAcentral.